CGCGCAGGCGGUCGGAUAAGUCGAGUGUGAAAGCCCCUGGCUCAACCAGGGAGGGUCACUCGAUACUGUUCGACUCGAAGGCAGGAGAGGGAAGUGGAAUUCCGGGUGUAGUGGUGAAAUGCGUAGAUAUCCGGAGGAACACCAGUGGCGAAGGCGACUUUCUGGCCUGUUCUUGACGCUGAGGCGCGAAAGCUAGGGAGCAAACG
Molecule: ribosomal RNA, 206 nt
Filed under: uncultured bacterium
Lineage: Bacteria
Description: partial 16S ribosomal RNA
Rfam family: Bacterial small subunit ribosomal RNA
Source: RNAcentral